AGCUGCGUGACGAGCGCAGAGCGAACUAUUCUUUCGCCUUUUACUAAAGAAUACCGUGCGCUUGUCACAUAAAGCAGCAUACACUUAUUUUUGAAGGGUGCUGUCGUCCUG
RNAcentral lists this small nuclear RNA (111 nucleotides) under Zea mays. RNAcentral's name for it is "U5 spliceosomal RNA". It matches the Rfam family "U5 spliceosomal RNA". Rfam says of the family: U5 RNA is a component of both types of known spliceosome. Lineage: Eukaryota; Viridiplantae; Streptophyta; Magnoliopsida; Poales; Poaceae. The record is from Rfam by way of RNAcentral.